RNAcentral lists this ribosomal RNA (235 nucleotides) under uncultured bacterium. Its description in RNAcentral is "partial 16S ribosomal RNA". It matches the Rfam family "Bacterial small subunit ribosomal RNA", at positions 118 to 353 of the family's 1533-position model. The record is from RNAcentral.
UGAGCAAUCUGCCCUUCUCUUCGGAAUAAGCGUUGGAAACGACGUCUAAUGCCGAAUACGACCUCCUUUCGCAUGAUCGGAGGUGGAAAGCUCCGGCGGAGAAGGAUGAGCUCGCGGCCUAUCAGCUAGUUGGUGUGGGUAAUGGCCCACCAAGGCGACGACGGGUAGCCGGCCUGAGAGGGUGACCGGCCACACUGGGACUGAGACACGGUCCAGACUCCUACGGGAGGNAGCG